This 354-nucleotide ribosomal RNA is filed under the name Triticum aestivum (bread wheat). RNAcentral describes it as "partial small subunit ribosomal RNA". Lineage: Eukaryota; Viridiplantae; Streptophyta; Magnoliopsida; Poales; Poaceae. The record is from RNAcentral.
AUGGCCAUCUUCGACGAGUUCUACAUUGGGUCCAUCGACCUCGGGCGCCUCAACUUUGGGAUCAUUUCGCUCAUUCCCAAGGUGCCUGGGGCGUCCGACAUCCGCCAGUUUCGUCCGAUCAUGGUGAUUAAUGUGAUCUUCCGGAUUCUGGCAAAAGGGUACGCCAAUAGGGUGACCCCUCUUGCCGACCACAUUACCCACCCCAACCAAUCCGCCUUCAUUCAAGGUCGGUAUAUCCUGGAUGGGGUGCUAGUCCUUCAUGAAAUCCUGCAUGAGGUCCGAUCCAAACACCUCAGGGCGGUCUUCCUGAAGAUCGAUUUCCAUAAGGCAUACGACACUGUUAGCUGGCCCUUC